This 305-nucleotide ribosomal RNA is filed under the name uncultured bacterium. RNAcentral describes it as "bacterial SSU rRNA". It matches the Rfam family "Bacterial small subunit ribosomal RNA", at positions 334 to 658 of the family's 1533-position model. The record is from RNAcentral.
GACCUACGGGGGGCAGCAGUGGGGAAUAUUGCACAAUGGGGGAAACCCUGAUGCAGCGACGCCGCGUGAGUGAAGAAGUAUUUCGGUAUGUAAAGCUCUAUCAGCAGGGAAGAAAAUGACGGUACCUGACUAAGAAGCCCCGGCUAACUACGUGCCAGCAGCCGCGGUAAUACGUAGGGGGCAAGCAUUAUCCGGAUUUACUGGGUGUAAAGGGUGCGUAGGUGGCAGGGCAAGUUAGAUGUGAAAGCCCGGGGCUCAACCCCGGUACUGCAUUUGAAACUGUCCAGCUGGAGUGCAGGAGAGGU